CCCCGAAGCAAGUUGGAAAAAAAAACAUCACGUCUCCGACUCCACCCCUCCCCCAGCCGCCACAGAACUCCUCCCUGUUCCCAUCGCCGCCGCCCGCCGCUCCUCCUCUCCUCUGUACCCCGUCGCGAGGAACCAACCUCCCGAAGCAACCGGAGCGGCAAGCGGCGGAAGAAUGGAGAGAUGGCGUCUGCGGCGACGGCGAAGGAGAUGGGGCGGGCGUCCUACAUCUGGAUCAAGCACGAGGAGGAGCGGCGCGAGGCUUCCUGGAAGGAGACCGAGGGCCGGGUCUUCUCCGCCACCACACGCACCGAUGUCGCCGCGCUCCUGAUCAGUGAGCCCCGCGACCAGAUCCUCGCCGGUCGUGCCUCCUUCGCCGACCUCGCCGCACAUCACUCCGGCUGCUGGGGACUGAAACGAACUCCAGUUCACGCUCUGUUUUGGUGGAUCUCACUACGCUCAGGAGGUGUUCGACGAAAUGCAAAGCCAGAGAAAAACUAGCGAUGAGACACAGUUUCAGUUUUCCCUUCCGGCAACGAAUGCCUUUCUCUCUUUGCUCUGGCCAGCAACAUAGCCGGCUCCCUCUCUUUUGUGUGCAGUUAACACAUGUACGGCCUGUAGCCAUGCUCAGACAUCCUCAGCACACACAUACGUCGCUACAGUGCAGGGACACACACAACAGCCUACUGUCAACUCCGCAUGCUACUACACACGAGCAUGGUCUAUAUAGUGUCUAGAUUGCAACAAGGAUUACAUUAACAGUUUGAACCGGGCUUGAUUUUUUUGGUUAAAAUUCACUGAUGGAUUGGUGUUACUCUAUUUUUACUAUGGUUUCCUUAUCAAUAUUUCACUGCUGUGGUAGAGAAAUAUUUAUCUAUUACGUACUUCUUCGUUGACAGCCGAAUGUGCUGUUUGAACUGUUUUCCCUAGACGAAGGAAGUACAGUUUGCAUGUACUAAAUUUUUAUUGUUAGUUUCAGAUUAUCCCCUUUCCUGUGUGCAUUUACUAGAUGCUUAAAUUAAUGUAUGGAUCAUCUUCGGUCCAACAAAAUCUAUUUAGCAAAUUAAAAUUUCUCAUCCAGUGUUCAGUUAUUUUCUCAAUUUAUUUGCUGCUCAUGUAUGUGUUAACCUGUACUGAGAUUGUUUAUUAUAUAUAUGUGUGUGCCCAACUUGUGUAAUGUGAUGCAUCUAUUUAAAGAAUCUGGCUAAAAUUUACUACACUUGAUGUAGAUCCAAAGAUUAGAUACUUAAUAAGGAUCCUUGAAUUUAGAAAGUCAUUACAGUGGGGAAGAGAUUAGGGAAGUCAUUCUAGGUCACACACCUGACUUGUAUCAGCUCAAAAUUGCUAUUAUGAAUAUAGUUUAUUUCACAUAGAUAAUAAACUAUUUGAUGCAGUUUGUCCCUGGAGACUUCUCAAGUGCAACUAACGGGUAUCUUGAACCAUCAACACCGCCUCCAGCUGACACCACCCUGGGCUCUGGGGAGUACAUCGGGCCGCUGACAGCUGCUUAGGUGAUGGCAGCUGCCGGGGCCGGUCUUAUUCUUGGCGCACGUGCGUUACCUCUUCAAGAUCUACGAGCUUGGUGACAGGUGCAAGAAAUUCAGGAAGUUGGGCGAAGUAGGGUCGUUCUGGAGGCCAUCACUGUUGUGCAUCGCCAUCCGGGCCAAAACUUGUCAGAUUAUGCAUGGACAUGAGCAACCUCGAAGCAUGCUACCUUCUUGGAAUUUAUCCGAUUGUAUUUCUGGGGAGCCGGGAGGCAGGAGCAACGCUGGUGAUGACCGCGACGACGAGUGACACCGCCGGGAGGCAAUGCACUCCCUGGGUGUCAUUCAAUUUAUCGGCAUUAGUGCCACCAAGGACGAUCACAACAGAUAAUAUUUUCCUUCGUUUUUUUUUCUGACGGUGGUGGAUUGUUUGCUCCUUGAUGCGUGGAUUUUCAAAUGUAGUUGCUGGUGAGGAAACAAAGUUGGUCAAAAUAUCAAAGCCGGGCAAAAUAAUAGAAACAUUAAGCGUAGAAUGUGCUGUACCUAAAUUAGCUGCAUGGAAACAUAGGGCCUAUGCUAAAUGACUGAAGGGUGAGCAACAACUUUGAGCCGAGAAUUGGAGACCGGCGAGAUAGAGUUUGGCCAUAGCGUACUGCCUAGAAAGGAAGGCAUUGCACUGGAGGGUGGCGCAGGUGGUAAUGGAGGAGGAGGCGAUGAGUAUUGCGUCAGGCGGCAAUCGGAUUUAAGCGUGGAAGAUAUGGGCACCGAUAUGAGAGAGGGUGAGAGCCAUAGGAAAAGGGAUCUGGUAAAGAAAGAACAUGAGAGAUGGGUGUGGGUCAGUGGGUGUUAUCGGCCUGGCUAGGCCAACGUGGUACAUGCGAACUUUUUUUCAUUUAUGAGUUGUAUCUUUUCUGAGUU
Long non-coding RNA from Triticum dicoccoides, 2399 nucleotides. RefSeq lists it as uncharacterized. The record is from RefSeq and is a predicted model, not a curated record. The transcript is spliced from 4 exons. NCBI's taxonomy places the organism in Eukaryota, Viridiplantae, Streptophyta, Magnoliopsida, Poales, Poaceae.